CAGCAUAAGAGAGGUAGUGACAAGAAAUAACAAUACAAGGCAGUUAAAAUGCUUUGUAAUUGGAAUGAUAGAAAUUUAAACACUUUUUAAAGUAUCAAUUGGAGGGCAAGUCUGGUGCCAGCAGCCGCGGUAAUUCCAGCUCCAAUAGCGUAUAUUAAAAUUGUUGCAGUUAAAAAGCUCGUAGUUGAAUUUCUGCUAAAAGUAACCGGUCUGCUUUGAAUAAAGGUGGUAUCUUGGUGUGUUUUUAGCAAUAAUGUCCUUUGAAAUGUUUUUUACUUUAUUGUAAUAAAUUAUAUUCAGGAUUUUUACUUUGAGAAAAUUAGAGUGUUUCUAGCAGGCUAACGCUUUGAAUACUGCAGCAUGGAAUAAUAAAAUAGGAUUUUGGUUCUACAUUAUUGGUUUUAAGAACUAAAUUAAUGAUUGAUAGGAACAGUUGGGGGCAUUUGUAUUUAACUGUCAGAGGUGAAAUUCUUAGAUUUGUUAAAGACAAACUACUGCGAAAGCAUUUGCCAAAGAUGUUUUCAUUAAUCAAGAACGAAAGUUAGGGGAUCGAAGACGAUCAGAUACCGUCGUAGUCUUAACUAUAAACUAUGCCGACUAGAGAUUGGAGGUCGUCUUU
This 619-nucleotide ribosomal RNA is filed under the name Hepatozoon sp. Its description in RNAcentral is "SSU rRNA". It matches the Rfam family "Eukaryotic small subunit ribosomal RNA", at positions 451 to 1067 of the family's 1831-position model. Lineage: Eukaryota; Apicomplexa; Hepatozoidae. The record is from RNAcentral.